This is a long non-coding RNA of Pieris napi, 1276 nucleotides long. RefSeq lists it as uncharacterized. NCBI's taxonomy places the organism in Eukaryota, Metazoa, Arthropoda, Insecta, Lepidoptera, Pieridae. The record is from RefSeq and is a predicted model, not a curated record. The transcript is spliced from 4 exons.
AGGUUGGAUUAGAUUUCUCGCUGCCUUUCAUCACAAUACCCAUCAAAAAUUCAGACCAUGGCUCACCAUUCGCUCAUAAUGAUUUGAGUUUACCAAAGAUACACGUCAAUCUUUCUUCACUAAUCGUUGGAGGAUUAGUGUUCUUAGUGACAACUUUUAUUUCGCCUCUUCUCAACAAAUCUUACGGAUCAUACCACAGAUCAUCUAGAGUUUCAGAUAACGUUGAACAUAAUCCAUUUAUGGAAUUCAGUAAACAAAUAAUGGAGAAAAACGAGGGUUGUCUUGAAAGAUUUGCAUGUGUGUCAGGUCAGCAGAAACAUGACAUGCAAUAUUUAAGGACGAUGAAACGAAUUAUGAGGAACAAACUCCUUUCCUCAAUAUUAAACACCACAGCCUUAGAAGAGGCUUCGAACAGAGGCUUACGAGGGUACGACUGUCUUGGAUACGAGCCUUGUGCUUUAAUGAAAGAAGACUUUAUUACGAUAAUGGAUAACCUCGCUGCAUAUCAAAAGCCGAAUAAAACUUAAUCCACAAUUUUAUAUCUACCAAAUACAAAGUUGUUAAUUAGUUAAAGUUUAAAAAUAAUGACAUUCAGUUCCUAUCCAGAUUUGGCCCCCAGUGACAUUUUCCUGUUCCCAGACCUCAAGAGAAUGCUCGCUGGACAGACAUUUUGCGCCCAUGUAGAGUUAAUCGCCGAAACUAAAGCCUAUUUUGAGCCUUAAGACAAAACAUACUAUAAAAAUGGUAUCGAAAAAUUUCAUAACCGCUAUUGUUGUAUUGUUCUCGAUGGCAACUCCACUGAAUAAUCAAAUUAACGUCUAUCAGAAAAAAACUUUUUCUUUGUUAGCCCAUGAACUUUUCAGCCCACAAUUACUUUUCAUCUCUCUACUUAUUUUAAAAUUGUUAAUUAAUCUUAGACACAUAGCAUUAGUUUCACCUUCUGUGGGCCUUAAAUACUUCUUUUAUAUUCUUUUUAUAUUUCUGAUCAUGUUUUAUACGUAUAAGCUAGCUAAUCUUUUUGAAAUGCAUCAUCAUUAUAAGAAAAAGAUCAAAGUAUUUGCUAAUCAACCCUCAAUACGAGAUAAAGUACAUUUAUACUACAAAAUACCUUAAGAAUUAAUCUUAAAUCUAAUACAAUAAAACUAUAUACGAACAAUUAACAAGAUCUUUAUUUAUCAUAAUAUAUCUGAAAACUUAUAGAAAACAAGAGAAGCUAAGCUCUACAACAAUACCUGAUAACAAUAUGAGACGGUUUUCUUCAUUUGUCUUAAAAUUA